CCAAAACUGAAAAGACUGCUCUUGAGAACAACAACAACAAAAAACAUUCUUGUCGUGCCUUGCAGUCAGCAUUUGCAUUAAGCUGCCCUAUCUCAUCUAAGCUGCUUCUUUUGGAUAUGCUUUCUGUGGAACAGCUGUUACUCAGCACCUCUUGGACUGCGACUCCAAUACUGAAUGACUCUGGGUGCAGCAGAUGUCAUCAGAGGAUCUGCUGCAAGAAGCACAUUCUGCUCCGUUCCCAUGGAAGUCCUCUUUGAACAUGAAGCUAAUUUGGGUGGGUCAGAAUCAUCUGUUUCUCAGCUUCCUCAUCCUUAAAAGAGGGUUGUGAUACUAGCAGAAGAAAAUGUUCUCAUAGCAUCUAAGGCCCUUGUCAUAAAUGAGGACCUGUCCCUUGUGUCAAAUGCUGCCUGUGACUGGUGUGUCCUGCCCCAACAAGACUGCAGGCAGCGCUGCUCUUGGACACACUUGGCAUUAUGGGUCUUUGCUGUCACCCAGCUUUCCUUCAAGCAUCCACUAUAUCUUUUCAAGGAAGAAUGUGAUGGAAUAGACAGCAGAUGCCAAGUAUUUUGUUGCCAUCGAAUAUGGAUUUUCCCAUUCCACUAAAGUUUGGGUGGCCCCAGCUCUGAUGCUUUGUGAUGGAAAGAAACGUGAAUCUUGAUUUUGGGACUGAUCUGAAGAGAAGAGCCUGUGGGCCUAAAAGCUUGUUUCCCUGAAGAACAGCAGUGCCAGAGGUUUCAGGAAGAAAACUGUCCGUUUUGAGGAUUUGAGUGCCAGAAGUCACAGAGGGCCUUUCUGAUGCUGUUAAGGAGGAUUCUGUAUAUCACCCGUUUGCAGGAGCUGAAACUCUGGUGUACCCGGAAGGACAAAAGUUGUCAACUCUCCGCUGGGGCGUCACCCGAAGUGGAAAGGCCUAUGUUGACUUUCGCUGUCUAUGAAUCUGCCCAUGUCUCUGCUUUUUCAGUUAUUACACAGGCUCCAGAGACUUAGUGGUAUUUGGCAAUAAGCAGAGCUGCUCUUCUGAAACAACGUGGUGCAGCCUAGCAGGUAUACUGAAGACUCUCCAGCUUUUUGCCAGAUGUGACUGUAACCCCAACCCUUGACUCUGGCUGAAGCAAGCAGAAAUUGGACUUGAACUGUAACAUCUCGGCUGUGAUCACCUCAAGGAGGAGAUACAGGUUUGAAGUAGGAGCCUAAGGAAGAAUACAAAAUCAAGGACUCAG
Long non-coding RNA from Dromaius novaehollandiae (emu), 1220 nucleotides. RefSeq lists it as uncharacterized. NCBI's taxonomy places the organism in Eukaryota, Metazoa, Chordata, Aves, Casuariiformes, Dromaiidae. The record is from RefSeq and is a predicted model, not a curated record. The transcript has 11 exons.